RNAcentral lists this unclassified non-coding RNA (394 nucleotides) under soil metagenome. RNAcentral describes it as "partial contains 5.8S ribosomal RNA, internal transcribed spacer 2, and large subunit ribosomal RNA". The stretch from base 1 to 122 matches the Rfam family "5.8S ribosomal RNA", at positions 35 to 154 of the family's 154-position model. The record is from RNAcentral.
GAUGAAGAACGUAGCGAAAUGCGAUACUUGGUGUGAAUUGCAGAAUCCCGUGAACCAUCGAGUCUUUGAACGCAAGUUGCGCCCGAAGCCACUAGGCCGAGGGCACGCCUGCCUGGGCGUCACACGUCGUUGCCCCCCCCCCCAUCUACUCCUUCGGGAUUGCGGGGGGCGGAUGAUGGCCUCCCGUGCGCCUAGCCGCGCGGUUGGCAUAAAUGCCAAGUCCUCGGCGACGCACGCCACGACAAUCGGUGGUUGCGAAACCUCGGUUGCCCGUCGUGUGCGUUCGUCGCGCAUCGAGGGCUCGAAAAAAUGCUCGGCUCCGGCUCGGCUUUCAACGCGACCCCAGGUCAGGCGGGGUUACCCGCUGAAUUUAAGCAUAUCAAUAAGCGGAGGA